This 524-nucleotide ribosomal RNA is filed under the name Chromocryptus sp. BFS-2018. Its description in RNAcentral is "partial 16S large subunit ribosomal RNA". The stretch from base 384 to 524 matches the Rfam family "Archaeal large subunit ribosomal RNA", at positions 2542 to 2682 of the family's 2987-position model. The record is from RNAcentral. Lineage: Eukaryota; Metazoa; Arthropoda; Insecta; Hymenoptera; Ichneumonidae.
GUCUUUUUGAUUAUAAUUUAAAGUCAGAUCUGCUCAAUGAUAAAUUAAAUAGCUGCAGUAUUUUAACUGUACAAAGGUAGCAUAAUCAAUAGUUUUUUAAUUAAAAGCUGGAAUGAAUGAUUUAAUAAGGUAAAUAUUGUCUCAAUUUUAAUGAUGUUAAAAAUUUUUUUUUAGUAAAAAUACUAAAUUGAAUUUUAAAGACGAGAAGACCCUAUAGAUUUUUAUAUUUUUAAUUUAAUUAAUUUAAAUUUAAAUUAUAUUUAAAUAAAAAAAAUAUUAGGUUGGGGAAAUUAUUAAAUUGAUAAAAUUUUAAUUUUUUAAUAACAAAAAUUAUUGAUUAAUUGAUUUUAAUUAUUUGAAUUAUUAGAAUAAAUUACCUUAGGGAUAACAGCGUAAUUUUUUUGAAGAGAUCAUAUUGAUAAAAAAGUUUGCGACCUCGAUGUUGAAUUAAGAUAAAAUUUUAAAGGAAAAAUUAAAAAUUUUUGGUCUGUUCGACCAUUAAAAUCUUACGUGAUCUGAGUUCA